UACGUAGGGUGCGAGCGUUGUCCGGAUUUAUUGGGCGUAAAGAGCUCGUAGGCGGCUUGUCGCGUCGGAUGUGAAAGCCCGGGGCUUAACUCCGGGUCUGCAUUCGAUACGGGCAGGCUAGAGUGUGGUAGGGGAGAUCGGAAUUCCUGGUGUAGCGGUGAAAUGCGCAGAUAUCAGGAGGAACACCGGUGGCGAAGGCGGGUCUCUGGGCCGUAACUGACGCUGAGGAGCGAAAGCAUGGGGAGCGAACAGG
This 253-nucleotide ribosomal RNA is filed under the name uncultured bacterium. RNAcentral's name for it is "partial 16S ribosomal RNA". It matches the Rfam family "Bacterial small subunit ribosomal RNA", at positions 524 to 776 of the family's 1533-position model. The record is from RNAcentral.